This 253-nucleotide ribosomal RNA is filed under the name uncultured bacterium. Its description in RNAcentral is "partial 16S ribosomal RNA". It matches the Rfam family "Bacterial small subunit ribosomal RNA", at positions 524 to 776 of the family's 1533-position model. The record is from RNAcentral.
UACGUAGGGUCCGAGCGUUGUCCGGAAUUAUUGGGCGUAAAGAGCUCGUAGGCGGCUUGUCACGUCGGGUGUGAAAGCCCGGGGCUUAACCCCGGGUCUGCAUUCGAUACGGGCUAGCUAGAGUGUGGUAGGGGAGAUCGGAAUUCCUGGUGUAGCGGUGAAAUGCGCAGAUAUCAGGAGGAACACCGGUGGCGAAGGCGGAUCUCUGGGCCGUAACUGACGCUGAGGAGCGAAAGCAUGGGUAGCGAACAGG